RNAcentral lists this unclassified non-coding RNA (492 nucleotides) under Hevea brasiliensis (rubber tree). The record is from RNAcentral. Lineage: Eukaryota; Viridiplantae; Streptophyta; Magnoliopsida; Malpighiales; Euphorbiaceae.
GCAGAGAAUAAGGCUCAGAAAAAGCUCUCCGCUGUUACCGCCUGGGAGAACAGCAAGAAGGCUNGAAGCCAAGUUGAGAAAGAUUGAGGAAAAAUUGGAGAAGCAAAAGGCAGAAUAUGCAGAGAAUAUGAAAAACAAAGUAGCUUUAAUUCACAAACAGGCUGAAGAAAAGAGAGCAGUGGUUGAAGCCAAAAGAGGAGAAGGAGUCCUAAAGGCAGAGGAAAUGGCUGCAAAAUACCGUGCUACUGGGCAAACUCCAAAGAAACUCCUUGGUUGCUUCUAAGGUUGCAAGUUUCGAGCUUGGUCUGAAAGCAUUAAAUGGAAUCAGAGCUAUUUCUCUUCAUAAUUUUUUUUGGUAACUCUUCUGUACACUUCUCUUGUUUAUUUCUUUCCUUGUAGUUUGUGUCUUUGCCACUGUAAAAUAAUCAAACUUCUACUAUUGAGCGUGCGCAUGUAUAUAAGUACAAUAUUUUGUCUAUGAGAAAAGAGUUU